RNAcentral lists this unclassified non-coding RNA (221 nucleotides) under Glomus sp. Its description in RNAcentral is "partial contains 5.8S ribosomal RNA and internal transcribed spacer 2". The stretch from base 1 to 71 matches the Rfam family "5.8S ribosomal RNA", at positions 84 to 154 of the family's 154-position model. Lineage: Eukaryota; Fungi; Glomeromycota; Glomeromycetes; Glomerales; Glomeraceae. The record is from RNAcentral.
GUGAAUCAUCGAAUCUUUGAACGCAAAUUGCACUUUCUGGUAUUCCGGAAAGUAUGCCUGUUUGAGGGUCAGUUAAAUCAAAAUCGGUGUUGUUGCUGCCUUUCGUGGUGGCGCGUCGGCAUUGGGUCGUCUUUCCAUCGGUUAAGUGACUUAAAAUUUUUGCAUGAUGUUCGGACGUAUUUAAAUCGCUUACGUACGUUUGAGAUAUCGAAUACUUAAUA